This 206-nucleotide ribosomal RNA is filed under the name uncultured bacterium. Its description in RNAcentral is "partial 16S ribosomal RNA". It matches the Rfam family "Bacterial small subunit ribosomal RNA", at positions 568 to 774 of the family's 1533-position model. The record is from RNAcentral.
AGCGCAGGCGGUUUGAUAAGUCUGAAGUUAAAGGCUGUGGCUCAACCAUAGUUCGCUUUGGAAACUGUCAAGCUUGAGUGCAGAAGGGGAGAGUGGAAUUCCAUGUGUAGCGGUGAAAUGCGUAGAUAUAUGGAGGAACACCGGUGGCGAAAGCGGCUCUCUGGUCUGUAACUGACGCCGAGGCUGAAAGCGUGGGGGAGCGAACA